GGCCAGCUAGCUCAGUCGGUAGAGCAUGAGACUCUUAAUCUCAGGGUCAUGGGUUCGGAAACCCACGUUGGGCG
Molecule: non-coding RNA, 74 nt
Organism: Molorchus minor
Lineage: Eukaryota; Metazoa; Arthropoda; Insecta; Coleoptera; Cerambycidae
Source: the annotation of a GenBank genome assembly